RNAcentral lists this ribosomal RNA (859 nucleotides) under uncultured archaeon. Its description in RNAcentral is "bacterial SSU rRNA". It matches the Rfam family "Archaeal small subunit ribosomal RNA", at positions 13 to 872 of the family's 1478-position model. The record is from RNAcentral.
CCUGCCGGAGGUCACUGCUAUCAGUGUUCGANUAAGCCAUGCAAGUCAAAUGUUCUUCGUGAACAUGGCGGACUGCUCAGUAACACGUGGAUAACCUGCCCUUAGGAUUGGCAUAACACCGGGAAACUGGUGAUAAUACCGAAUAGACCAUUUAUGCUGGAAUGCUUUUUGGUUCAAAGGCUUCGGCUGCCUAAGGAUGGAUCUGCGGCCUAUCAGGUAGUAGUGGGUGUAAUGUACCUACUAGCCUACGACGGGUACGGGUUGUGAGAGCAAGAGCCCGGAGAUGGAUUCUGAGACAUGAAUCCAGGCCCUACGGGGCGCAGCAGGCGCGAAAACUUUACAAUGCGGGAAACCGCGAUAAGGGGACACUGAGUGCCAGCAUAUUAUGUUGGCUGUCCACAUGUAUAAAAAUCAUGUGUUAGCAAGGGCCGGGCAAGACCGGUGCCAGCCGCCGCGGUAACACCGGCGGCCCGAGUGGUGAUCACUUUUAUUGGGUCUAAAGGGUCCGUAGCCGGUUUAAUCAGUCUUCUGGGAAAUCUGACAGCUCAACUGUUAGGCUUUCAGGGGAUACUGUUAGACUUGGGACCGGGAGAGGUAAGAGGUACUACAGGGGUAGGAGUGAAAUCUUGUAAUCCCUGUGGGACCACCAGUGGCGAAGGCGUCUUACCAGAACGGGUCCGACGGUGAGGGACGAAAGCUGGGGGCACGAACCGGAUUAGAUACCCGGGUAGUCCCAGCCGUAAACGAUGUUCGCUAGGUGUCAGGGACGGUGCGACCGUUUCUGGUGCCGUAGGGAAGCCGUGAAGCGAACCACCUGGGAAGUACGGCCGCAAGGCUGAAACUUAAAGGAAUUGGCGGG